Long non-coding RNA from Oncorhynchus tshawytscha (Chinook salmon), 334 nucleotides. Lineage: Eukaryota; Metazoa; Chordata; Actinopteri; Salmoniformes; Salmonidae. The record is from Ensembl.
GUUUAGGUUUAGGAGUUACAAUUAGGUUUAGGAGUUACAAUUAGGUUUAGGUUUAGGAGUUACAAUUAGGUUUAGGAGUUACAAUUAGGUUUAGGAGUUACAAUAAGGUUAGGAGUUACAAUUAGGUUUAGGAGUUACAAUUAGGUUUAGGAGUUACAAUUAGGUUUAGGUUUAGGAGUUACAAUUAGGUUUAGGAGUUACAAUUAGGUUUAGGAGUUACAAUUAGGUUUAGGAGUUACAAUUAGGUUUAGGAGUUACAAUUAGGUUUAGGUAUAGGAGUUACGAUUAGGUUUAGGAGUUACAAUUAGGUUUAGGAGUUACAAUUAGGUUUAGG